GCAGAAUGCGACGAAUACGAGAUGGUUGGCUCAAAAUGAGUGCUGUUGCGAUUUAUUAAAUUGAUGCUAUUACAAACAAUGGGAAGAGAAGAGAGGCUGAAAAGCAGGCUUGACAAUUUUGUGAAGAGGAGGAGGCUCAAGAAAAGCAAUGGAUCAAUUUUACAAAUCAUGUAACGUGCACAUAGCUGAUAACUCCACUGCUGUGCAUCAAUCGGUCUUCUUUUAUUGGUACGCAGUCACCGGUCGCGAUCAAGCUAUUAGCCAGUUAGUGAAGAUGCAGUAAACUAUAAUGGAGACUUCGCACGGCUCUGUACUACUGAGAGGUUGGGGCAUCGGUGAACGUUUCGGCCAAAACUGGGUCAUCUUUAGUAUGUCAAAAUGAUAAGACAAAAAGUGUAUAAUUUAAAGUAAUAAUGGAGUGUCAAUAUGAUAAAAAUAUUAGCGCGAUUAGUACAAAGAUUCCCACAGAUAAAACAUAAAAUUAUCUAGUCGCUAUAAACGCAGGUAUUAUGUACUGGGUC
Trachymyrmex septentrionalis is the source of this 521-nucleotide long non-coding RNA. RefSeq lists it as uncharacterized. The transcript has 4 exons. The record is from RefSeq and is a predicted model, not a curated record. Lineage: Eukaryota; Metazoa; Arthropoda; Insecta; Hymenoptera; Formicidae.